RNAcentral lists this ribosomal RNA (253 nucleotides) under uncultured bacterium. RNAcentral describes it as "partial 16S ribosomal RNA". It matches the Rfam family "Bacterial small subunit ribosomal RNA", at positions 524 to 776 of the family's 1533-position model. The record is from RNAcentral.
UACGGAGGGUGCAAGCGUUAUCCGGAUUCACUGGGCUUAAAGGGUGCGUAGGAGGGCAGGUAAGUCAGUGGUGAAAUCCCCGAGCUUAACUUGGGAACUGCCGUUGAUACUAUCUGUCUUGAAUAUUGUGGAGGUAAGCGGAAUAUGUCAUGUAGCGGUGAAAUGCUUAGAUAUGACAUAGAACACCAAUUGCGAAGGCAGCUUGCUACACAACUAUUGACUCUGAUGCACGAAAGCGUGGGGAUCAAACAGG